This 1700-nucleotide long non-coding RNA is filed under the name Anas platyrhynchos platyrhynchos (common mallard). RNAcentral describes it as "lncRNA (ENSAPLG00000019265.1)". Lineage: Eukaryota; Metazoa; Chordata; Aves; Anseriformes; Anatidae. The record is from RNAcentral.
CAGCUGCAGGGGGCCUGUUUUAUAGGGCCCACAGCAAAAACAGGGCAGUGGUGGCCACUGUGACCUCAGCAAGCCUCUGUGAUGGAGUGGCUCACGUGUGGCCAAAGGCAGCUUUGUUGGGAGUGGCCUGGAAGAUUUCCUCACGUGGAAGUAGGAGGAGGGAUGCGGGGGGCUGAGGGUCCCUUUUCUGGGGCUGACUGCCCCAGGUCAUUUGGCUUGACAGAGAGAAAGGCUGCCCCUCAGCCACAGGGGCUGUCCUCCACCUCCCAUCCUGUGCCCUGGCUUUAUUUACUAGAACAAGGAUUUAAAUGCAAACACAGAGCUUGAUGAUGAUACAUAGUCUGGGGAAAAAAGGCAAUGAAAGAUGUGGAACAGACUAAAAUGAACUUCAGAACAGUUCUUUAAAACUGAAGUGAGGGCCAUAUGGAAAGUCACCUUUCUUUGUACCUGUACUUCAGAGUCUAUUUGGGGGGGGGUAUUUAUUUAUUUAUUCAUUAUUAUUAUUAUUAUUAUUAUUAUGAAUUAAUUACUUUAGAAAGGAGUUUAAUUUCACAUUCAUUAUUAGUCCUUUUAAAACAUAAUCCUCAGUACGGACUAGAGAGAGUCUGGGGCAUUCUGCAUUUAGCCGUGCAUUACCCAGGCUGCACAUAUUCCCUAACAUACACUGCCUGUAUGUCUAUACAACAUUGAAAAUGCAUAGAUAACUUUUAAUAGUCAUUCCCAGCUGACCAAUAGAUGGCCAGUCAAUCAUCUUUUGUUUUUUUAUAGAAAAAAGAUUUAUGCUGUACAGGUGAAGAUAUCGCUCACAUGAACCUCAAUGAACCUGUUAGCCUGACAGGAAGGGUGACAUACAGGACCGACUAUCUGGUUGCUAAAAAGAAAAGAAAUGGAGAAGUGAGGAAGGGAUUGGUUUUCUGGAUUGCACUGUUGAAAGUGGAAGAUGUCCACUAUCUGGGGCCCUUCAGUUCUUUGUCUGCAGUCAUGCCUUCUUGCCUCUCAAUUAAAGACCUUCAAGCAGAAGUGCCAUUGGAAUAUCUGUUCCAUAUGCAGACCAAAGAUAAUAUACAGGUACUUCAUGCUUCACAUACUUGGAUGUAUGAUGUAGGAAUAAAACAAACAAAACCAGCAGAGACAGUAAAGGAUCAAUUAAUUUUCAUUUGCAUGGAUUUCAUCUAUAAAAACUAACUUAAAGUGCCAAAUUUUUCUGUCAAACAAGGAAAAGAUUUGCAGUAGCCAUUAAAGUAAGGAUGGGAAAAACAGUUGGACAAACCAGAAUUGCCUCGAAAGACAUUGGAAAUGCAAGCUACUAAACAAUGUAAUUUUCAUUGAUAUCUAUCAGUAUGUGUGAAAAUUUCUCUCAGCUCAGAUACAAAUAUGAUUCUCUAUAUUUUCUCAUAUUUUCUUUCAUUAUUGUUAUUUCAAAAUUGUGCCCUGAAUAUAUAAGAAUGAAAACAGAAAACAUUCCAGAGUGACAGACUGACACCAAGCUGAUGGAAAUGACUGUGGAAGUGUGAUAACUAUGAUAACUCUGAGCUACGGAGCUGGUGAAGCCUGGCUUUCUACAGAUGGACUUCUUGCUGUUUAUAGAGCUACUAACUCCAGAUAAGCUUUUCUUGCUGUUGCAGUGCUCAUACUAGUACUCUCUUAUGUGGCUCUUCAGUGUCUGUAAUAAAAUUCAUACCACACUCUUUUGUUUAUCA